Molecule: long non-coding RNA, 724 nt
Organism: Camelina sativa (false flax)
Lineage: Eukaryota; Viridiplantae; Streptophyta; Magnoliopsida; Brassicales; Brassicaceae
Source: RefSeq, a predicted model, not a curated record
CAUAGCAAAUAUACGUAUAAAAAAACCCAUGACGGAGACAAGUCAUUGGAGUUGCUUGUGACUCCACAAAUACACUCAUGAUAUCAUGGGGACAUAAAGGUUUGUAAAGAUUUAUUUGUACAUCCUUUCAAGUAAUUAAUUAAUCUGAUGGGGAGAAUGAGAAAAAGAAUAAAAAGGACCAGAAUAGCAUGAAGAACUUUGAUGCAUUGGAAUCUCCAUUUUCAAAGCUUCUCAAGUCCUCAUGGGAUUCAAAACACUUUUUAGAUUUUACCAACUACAUAAAAGGAGUUUGUCCCCUUCAGCUCUCGAUAUGGAGCUACGGAUGCUGGAAAUCAUAGAUGAAGAAGAUAUUUUGAAGAGAUUAUCAAAAGACCUGAGUUUAUAUCGAUUGGACAACUUCUGGAUUACUUCAUCAACGAGAUCUCUUGCAAAAACGACUUUGAGUUUAUGCAAGCCGUUUGUGAAAUUAAUUUCUAAAGAUCCACGGUGAGACCAUAAGGUGCCACCCAAGUUUACAAGAGAAGGCAAAGGGCGCUUUUAGAAACUCAAGAGUUUGGUGUGGCAGAAAAUGGAUAAGCUUUUCCAGAGCACAAGAUGCAUAGUUACCUUCCUUAGCAAUUCACAGUUCUGAUGAAGCUUGUUAACAUAUUGCUCUCUUUGUUUAUGUUUCUCUGUUUUUCACAAAAUAGCAGUUUUGAAGAAGCUUAUAAUAUAUUUAUUACCC